CUAAGGAAUACGUCUCCUGCGACGGAGACAUACAGGAAGCACAAGCUUCCAUACACAAACAUCACUCGUUGUCAGUUUUGAGAGAGCAGCGAUGUUCUUUCAAAUGUCUGAUUUUUCCUGCCGCUUUGUUCGUAAGAAAAAAAGGCAACGAAAAAAUCAUUGUACCUUGAAAACUGAAUCGCGAAAGUAAAGCUUAGAAUCAUCCUUUAAUUUUAAAUAGGAGUUAAAAAGUUUACUUUUCAGCACCGAGAAGCUUGCUUGAAGCUGAAGAAAGAGGAGCGCAGUGUAGUUGAGACUACAUGAGCACCGGAUUUCGAAGCUGAAGGCAAGAUUCGAUGCCGAAUAACCCCUUGAGAUCCUUCGUGAUCAAAAGGAAACUUUUUAACAACCUAACUA
Molecule: unclassified non-coding RNA, 396 nt
Filed under: Paenibacillus lentimorbus
Lineage: Bacteria; Bacillati; Bacillota; Bacilli; Caryophanales; Paenibacillaceae
Description: 16S-23S ribosomal RNA intergenic spacer
Source: RNAcentral